This 415-nucleotide ribosomal RNA is filed under the name uncultured eukaryote. Its description in RNAcentral is "bacterial SSU rRNA". It matches the Rfam family "Eukaryotic small subunit ribosomal RNA", at positions 592 to 1017 of the family's 1831-position model. The record is from RNAcentral.
CAAUAGCGUAUAUUUAAGUUGUUGCAGUUAAAAAGCUCGUAGUUGGAUUUUGGUUAAGAGGGCGCGGUCGGCCGUUUGGUCUGUACUGCGUUGUCUUGACUUCCUGAUGAGGACAUGCUCUUGGUUAACGCUGAGACAUGGAGUCAUCGUGGUUACUUUGAAAAAAUUAGAGUGUUCAAAGCGGGCUUACGCUUGAAUAUAUUAGCAUGGAAUAAUGGAAUAGGACUUUGGUGCUAUUUUGUUGGUUUAUGGGACCGAAGUAAUGAUUAACAGGGACAGUUGGGGCCGUUUAUAUUUCGUUGUCAGAGGUGAAAUUCUUGGAUUUACGAAAGAUAAACUUCUGCGAAAGCAUUCGGCAAGGAUGUUUUCAUUGAUCAAGAACGAAAGUUAGGGGAUCGAAGACGAUUAGAUACCA